CCUACGGGAGGCAGCAGUGGGGAAUUUUGGACAAUGGGGGCAACCCUGAUCCAGCAAUGCCGCGUGAGUGAAGAAGGCCUUCGGGUUGUAAAGCUCUUUUGUCAGGGAAGAAACACCGGCUCUAACACAGUCCGGGAAUGACGGUACCUGAAGAAUAAGCACCGGCUAACUACGUGCCAGCAGCCGCGGUAAUACGUAGGGUGCGAGCGUUAAUCGGAAUUACUGGGCGUAAAGCGUGCGCAGGCGGUUAUACAAGACAGGCGUGAAAUCCCCGGGCUUAACCUGGGAAUGGCGCCUGUGACUGUAUAGCUAGAGUGUGUCAGAGGGGGGUAGAAUUCCACGUGUAGCAGUGAAAUGCGUAGAUAUGUGGAGGAAUACCAAUGGCGAAGGCAGCCCCCUGGGAUAACACUGACGCUCAUGCACGAAAGCGUGGGGAGCAAACAGGAUUAGAUACCCUUGUAGUC
This 464-nucleotide ribosomal RNA is filed under the name uncultured bacterium. RNAcentral describes it as "bacterial SSU rRNA". It matches the Rfam family "Bacterial small subunit ribosomal RNA", at positions 338 to 795 of the family's 1533-position model. The record is from RNAcentral.